AGACACACACACACACACACACACACACACACACACAUUUCUACCAUGACUUCAGCUCCAUGGAGAACAUUUCUCAUGCUGUCAUCAGUUUCUGUGGUUUGGAGUCAGACUCUGACUGAGUCUGAACCUGUGGUGAAGAGACCUGGAGAGUCCCACAGACUGACCUGUACGUACUCAGGGAUCUCAGAUGGAGACGCUGAUCUUGCCUGGAUCAGACAAGCUGCAGGAAAAGGACUGGAGUGGGUUUCUUUCAUUUCUGCUCCGAGUGGAGGCACUAAAGCUUAUUCCACAUCAGUGCAGAAUCGCUUCACCAUCUCCAGAGACAACGAUGUGGACCAGGUCUAUCUGCAGAUGAGCAGUCUGACAGCUGGAGACUCUGCUGUGUAUUACUGUGCCAGAGCCCCACAACAACACAAACCAUCUGUAGAGCUGAACAAAAACCCCUCAGAGCCUGAACACCUGUGA
Notolabrus celidotus (New Zealand spotty) is the source of this 465-nucleotide non-coding RNA. Lineage: Eukaryota; Metazoa; Chordata; Actinopteri; Labriformes; Labridae. The record is from the annotation of a RefSeq genome assembly.